This 496-nucleotide ribosomal RNA is filed under the name uncultured bacterium. RNAcentral describes it as "bacterial SSU rRNA". It matches the Rfam family "Bacterial small subunit ribosomal RNA", at positions 38 to 584 of the family's 1533-position model. The record is from RNAcentral.
GGCGGCAUGCCUAACACAUGCAAGUCGAACGCUAUUUAUAGAGUGGCGCACGGGUGAGUAACGCGUGGGAACCUGCCUUUUUCUGCGGGAUAACGGUUGGAAACGACCGCUAAUACCGCAUACGCCCUACGGGGGAAAGGUCCGCCGGAGAAAGAGGGGCCCGCGUCUGAUUAGUUAGUUGGUGGGGUAAUGGCCUACCAAGGCGACGAUCAGUAGCUGGUCUGAGAGGAUGAUCAGCCACACUGGGACUGAGACACGGCCCAGACUCCUACGGGAGGCAGCAGUGGGGAAUAUUGGACAAUGGGGGCAACCCUGAUCCAGCAAUGCCGCGUGUGUGAUGAAGGCCCUAGGGUUGUAAAGCACUUUCACUGGUGAAGAUGAUGACGGUAACCAGAGAAGAAGCCCCGGCUAACUUCGUGCCAGCAGCCGCGGUAAUACGAAGGGGGCGAGCGUUGUUCGGAAUUACUGGGCGUAAAGGGCGCGUAGGCGGUCUUUU